GAUGAACGCUGGCGGCGUGCCUAAUACAUGCAAGUCGAGCGAACGGACGAGAAGCUUGCUUUUCUGAUGUUAGCGGCGGACGGGUGAGUAACACGUGGAUAACCUACCUAUAAGACUGGGAUAACUUCGGGAAACCGGAGCUAAUACCGGAUAAUAUUUUGAACCGCAUGGUUCAAAAGUGAAAGACGGUCUUGCUGUCACUUAUAGAUGGAUCCGCGCUGCAUUAGCUAGUUGGUAAGGUAACGGCUUACCAAGGCAACGAUGCAUAGCCGACCUGAGAGGGUGAACGGCCCCAUUGGAACUGAGACCCGGUCGCGACUCCUACGGGAGGCAGCAUUAGGGGAGCCUCCGCAAUGGGCGAAAGCCUGAAGGAGCAACGCCCCGUGAGUGAUGAAGGACUUCAGAUCUUAAAACUCUGUUAUUAGGGAAGAACAUAGGUGUAAGUAACUGUGCACAUCUUGACGGUACCUAAUCAGAAAGCCACGGCUAACUACGUG
RNAcentral lists this ribosomal RNA (497 nucleotides) under uncultured bacterium. RNAcentral's name for it is "partial 16S ribosomal RNA". It matches the Rfam family "Bacterial small subunit ribosomal RNA", at positions 28 to 507 of the family's 1533-position model. The record is from RNAcentral.